CCUACGGGGGGCAGCAGUGGGGGAUAUUGCACAAUGGGGGGAACCCUGAUGCAGCGACGCCGCGUGGGUGAAGAAGCGCCUCGGCGCGUAAAGCCCUGUCAGCAGGGAAGAAAAUGACGGUACCUGACGAAGAAGCCCCGGCUAACUACGUGCCAGCAGCCGCGGUAAUACGUAGGGGGCAAGCGUUAUACGGAUUUACUGGGUGUAAAGGGGGCGCAGACGGCGAUGCAAGCCAGGAGGGAAAGCCCGGGGCCCAACCCCGGGACUGCUCUUGGAACUGCGUGGCUGGAGUGCAGGAGGGGCAGGCGGAAUUCCUGGUGUAGCGGUGAAAUGCGUAGAUAUCAGGAGGAACACCGGUGGCGAAGGCGGCCUGCUGGACUGCAACUGACGUUGAGGCCCGAAAGCGUGGGGAGCAAACAGGAUUAGAUACCCCUGUAGUC
RNAcentral lists this ribosomal RNA (440 nucleotides) under uncultured bacterium. RNAcentral's name for it is "partial 16S ribosomal RNA". It matches the Rfam family "Bacterial small subunit ribosomal RNA", at positions 338 to 795 of the family's 1533-position model. The record is from RNAcentral.